CACCUGUACCCAUGCCGAACACAGAAGUUAAGCUCUCUUGUGCCGAUGGUACUUGGACCGCAGGGUCCCGGGAGAGUAGGUAGUCGCCGAGU
Molecule: ribosomal RNA, 92 nt
Filed under: Bacillota bacterium
Lineage: Bacteria; Bacillati; Bacillota
Source: RNAcentral